ACUCAAAUGAAUUGACGGGGGCCCGCACAAGCGGUGGAGCAUGUGGUUUAAUUCGACGCAACACGAAGAACCUUACCAGGGCUUGACAUCCUCUGAAUACCCAGAGAUGGGUAGUGCCUUCGGGAGCAGAGAGACAGGUGGUGCAUGGUUGUCGUCAGCUCGUGUCGUGAGAUGUUGGGUUAAGUCCCGCAACGAGCGCAACCCCUAUCUUUAGUUGCCAGCAAGUAAUGUUGGGCACUCUAGAGAGACUGCCGGUGACAAACCGGAGGAAGGUGGGGAUGACGUCAAAUCAUCAUGCCCCUUAUGUCCUGGGCUACACACGUGCUACAAUGGCCGGUACAGAGGGAAGCAAAGCCGUGAGGUGGAGCAAAUCCCAAAAAGCCGGUCUCAGUUCGGAUUGCAGGCUGCAACUCGCCUGCAUGAAGUCGGAAUCGCUAGUAAUCGCAGGUCAGCAAACUGCGGUGAAUACGUUCCCGGGCCUUGUACACACCGCCCGU
Molecule: ribosomal RNA, 497 nt
Filed under: uncultured bacterium
Lineage: Bacteria
Description: partial 16S ribosomal RNA
Rfam family: Bacterial small subunit ribosomal RNA
Source: RNAcentral